CCUACGGGUGGCUGCAGUGAGGAAUAUUGGUCAAUGGCCGUAAGGCUGAACCAGCCAAGUAGCGUGAGGGAAGACUGCCCUAUGGGUUUUAAACCCCUUUUAUGCGGGGAUAAAUGUGUCCACGUGUGGAUGUUUGCAGGUACCGCAUGAAUAAGGACCGGCUAAUUCCGUGCCAGCAGCCGCGGGAAUACGGAAGGUCCGGGCGUUAUCCGGAUUUAUUGGGUUUAAAGGGAGCCUAGGCCGGUCAUUGAGCCUGAUGUGAAAUUUUUGGGCUCAACCAGGGAAUUGAGGCUCGAACUGGUGAGCUAGAGUGUUGUGAAGGGGGGUAGAAGUCGAGGGGUAGCGGUGAAAUGCUUAGAGAUGAGGAGGAAGACCGGUGGCGAAGGCGGCCCCCUGGACAAAGACUGACGCUCAGGUGCGAAAGUGUGGGUAGAAAACAGGAUUAGAUACCCGGGUAGUC
This 460-nucleotide ribosomal RNA is filed under the name uncultured bacterium. RNAcentral's name for it is "partial 16S ribosomal RNA". It matches the Rfam family "Bacterial small subunit ribosomal RNA", at positions 338 to 795 of the family's 1533-position model. The record is from RNAcentral.